This 253-nucleotide ribosomal RNA is filed under the name uncultured bacterium. RNAcentral's name for it is "partial 16S ribosomal RNA". It matches the Rfam family "Bacterial small subunit ribosomal RNA", at positions 524 to 776 of the family's 1533-position model. The record is from RNAcentral.
AACGUAGGUCCCGAGCGUUAUCCGGAUUUACUGGGCGUAAAGCGUGUUCAGGCGGUCUAGCAAGUCGGGCAUGAAAUCUCUCGGCUCAACCGGGAGGGGUUGUCCGAUACUGCUGGGCUUGAGGGCAGCAGAGGGUGGUGGAAUUCCGGGUGUAGUGGUGAAAUGCGUAGAUAUCCGGAGGAACACCAGUGGCGAAGGCGGCCACCUGGGCUGUACCUGACGCUCAAACACGAAAGCUGGGGGAGCGAACGGG